UACAGAGGGUGCGAGCGUUGUCCGGAAUCACUGGGCGUAAAGGGCGCGUAGGUGGCUUGAUAAGUAGGGGGUGAAAUCUCGCGGCUCAACUGCGAGGCUGCCUCCUAAACUGUCGGGCUUGAGCAGAGUAGAGGCAGGUGGAAUUCCCGGUGUAGCGGUGGAAUGCGUAGAGAUCGGGAAGAACAUCGGUGGCGAAGGCGGCCUGCUGGGCUCUUGCUGACACUGAGGCGCGACAGCGUGGGGAGCAAGCAGG
RNAcentral lists this ribosomal RNA (253 nucleotides) under uncultured bacterium. Its description in RNAcentral is "partial 16S ribosomal RNA". It matches the Rfam family "Bacterial small subunit ribosomal RNA", at positions 524 to 776 of the family's 1533-position model. The record is from RNAcentral.